Molecule: non-coding RNA, 836 nt
Organism: Betta splendens (Siamese fighting fish)
Lineage: Eukaryota; Metazoa; Chordata; Actinopteri; Anabantiformes; Osphronemidae
Source: the annotation of a RefSeq genome assembly
ACGGCUGCAGAUAAAGAUGCUGACAGAGCAAAGUAAAUGACACAGAUUUGAAUUAAAGGGUUGAGGUUGGACCUGUUUACUUUAAACUUGUGUUUUUUUCCACUAAACAUGUUUUACAAAAACCUACAGUUAAACCAGGAGAAUGUAUUAAAUGUUGCAUUCAACCAUAUAUUUUGUGUGAUGUAAUGCAAAGCUGAGUCUUCUACUGGACCACGUUAUGCAAAGUCAGUGAUGUUCACUACAGCUCAUCUAUAAAAGCUCCACAUCAGACUGAGGAGGUCACAGAACAUGAGAGUCACCAUGUUUCCUGCAGCUCUGCUGCUGCUGUUGGCAGCUGGAUCCAGUGUGAGGUGUGAACAGCUGACACAGCCAGACUCUGUGACUGUGGAGCCAGGUCAGCGUCUGACCCUCACCUGUCAGGUCUCUUAUGCUCUUAACUCCUAUGCAUCAGCCUGGAUCAGACAACCUGAAGGAAAAGGACUGGAGUGGAUUUAUAGAGGAGGAGUUGGAUGCAGCACAUACUACAAAGAUUCACUAAAGAACAAGUUCAGCAUCAGUUUAGAUUCUUCCAGUAACACAAUGACUCUAACUGGACAGAACAUGCAGCCAGAGGACUCUGCUGUUUAUUACUGUGCACGAGAGACACAGUGACACAAAGCAUCAGUGGAGCUGAACAAAAACCCCUCAGAGCCAAACAUUAGUAACAUGGAUCCACCAGAGGAGAAGCCUCAGACCAGGAAUGAGUUAAACCAGUCAACAAAUACACAAUGUGUCUAAAAGUCAGUCUUAAGAUAAAAUAAAAUUGCACCUGUUUUAUUGUUACAGCAGAAACAGCU